Non-coding RNA from Alishewanella agri BL06, 58 nucleotides. The record is from Rfam. NCBI's taxonomy places the organism in Bacteria, Pseudomonadati, Pseudomonadota, Gammaproteobacteria, Alteromonadales, Alteromonadaceae.
UAGCUCAGCUGGUAGAGCGCGACCUUGCCAAGGUCGAGGUCACGAGUUCGAACCUCGU